GUUCUCUCCAUAGUUUGGCUAUUGUGGAUGUUGCUGCUAUAAACAUUCGGGUCACUACGUUUGUAUCUUUAGGGUAAAUACCCAGUAGUGGGAUUGCUGGGCCGUAGGGCAGCUCUAUUUUCAACUUUCUGAGGAAGCUCCAUGCUGUUUUCCAGAGUGGCCGCACCAGCUUGUGUUCCCACCUGCAGUGUAGGAGGCUCCCCUUUCUCCACAACCUGUCCAUGUGCUACAGAGAUGAGAAAGUCACAAUCCCCAUCUGCAAGAAGUUCACAGUCUACUGGGGAGUAGACGUGCCCCCAAAUCAUUCCUGUAUACCGAGCUACUAGAAACAGAAUUUUCUGAAAGUAACAAGAAGAGGAAGCCUGAGUCUGUGCCGAAGCGUUCAGGGAGCAGAGAUGUAUUGAGAGGUGAUGAGGGAAGGCACAGAGAAUGUGAGGCCAGGCAGGUGAGAAGGGGUUGGGGGAAACCCACUGAUCAAACACACGGAUGGGU
Molecule: long non-coding RNA, 492 nt
Filed under: Mustela putorius furo (domestic ferret)
Lineage: Eukaryota; Metazoa; Chordata; Mammalia; Carnivora; Mustelidae
Description: lncRNA (ENSMPUG00000029708.1)
Source: RNAcentral